This 750-nucleotide ribosomal RNA is filed under the name uncultured bacterium. Its description in RNAcentral is "bacterial SSU rRNA". It matches the Rfam family "Bacterial small subunit ribosomal RNA", at positions 10 to 756 of the family's 1533-position model. The record is from RNAcentral.
AGUUUGAUCCUGGCUCAGAUUGAACGCUGGCGGCAUGCUUUACACAUGCAAGUCGAACGGCAGCGGGGGCUUCGGCCUGCCGGCGAGUGGCGAACGGGUGAGUGAUACAUCGGAACGUGUCCUUAAGUGGGGAAUAACGCAUCGAAAGAUGUGCUAAUACCGCAUAUCUCUCAGGAGGAAAGCAGGGGAUCGAAAGACCUUGCGCUAAAGGAGCGGCUGAUGUCUGAUUAGCUAGUUGGUGGGGUAAAGGCUUACCAAGGCAACGAUCAGUAGCUGGUCUGAGAGGACGACCAGCCACACUGGGACUGAGACACGGCCCAGACUCCUACGGGAGGCAGCAGUGGGGAAUUUUGGACAAUGGGCGAAAGCCUGAUCCAGCCUUGCCGCGUGAGUGAAGAAGGCCUUCGGGUUGUAAAGCUCUUUUAGUCGGAAAGAAAGAGUCAUAGUAAAUAGCUAUGAUUUAUGACGGUACCGACAGAAAAAGCACCGGCUAACUACGUGCCAGCAGCCGCGGUAAUACGUAGGGUGCGAGCGUUAAUCGGAAUUACUGGGCGUAAAGGGUGCGCAGGCGGCCUUGUAAGUCAGAUGUGAAAGCCCCGGGCUUAACCUGGGAACUGCGUUUGAAACUACAAAGCUAGAGUGCAGCAGAGGGGAGUGGAAUUCCAUGUGUAGCAGUGAAAUGCGUAGAGAUGUGGAAGAACACCGAUGGCGAAGGCAGCUCCCUGGGUUGACACUGACGCUCAUGCACGA